RNAcentral lists this long non-coding RNA (2212 nucleotides) under Sus scrofa (pig). RNAcentral's name for it is "lncRNA (ENSSSCG00055019660.1)". The record is from RNAcentral. Lineage: Eukaryota; Metazoa; Chordata; Mammalia; Artiodactyla; Suidae.
GCUGAGGAUAGAGUCUUGGUUUUAUUCUUUUCCCAGAUUUCCAUUUUAACCAUUAGAUCAUGAGUCCAUAGCCUUUGAAAAAAAUUGACAGAAUUGAUUCAGCCACCUCUAUUUCCUUGGAUAUCUUUGGUUCAGAUAUAGUUUACAGACUGGUUCAUAUAACAUAAAGCACAAAACAUCCAAAUGAUGACGCUAUUUUGAAUUGAUAUUAAUGGGGUUAAGACCCAAUUCUGAAUUUGCAUUUAAUUUUAGUGACAUGAAUGGACUUGUUUUAUAAGUGGAAAUAAGCUUUAUACCAACAGUUAGAGAUUUCAAACUUUGUAGAAAUCACUAAUUAUCAUUCUUUGUGUUCUAUUCCACCAAAAUUAAAACUUUGACAUUGCCAUAAUCUUUGUAAAUGUUGUAAUAAUCCCUUUAGAGACGACAUCGUAAGGGCAAUUAUCAAGACUACAUUAAGAAUAUCUUCACAGGGAGUUCCAUUGUGGUUCAGUGGUAACAAACCCGAUUAGUAUCCAUGAGGAUGAGGGUUCAAUCCCUGGUCUCGUUCAGUGGGUUAAGGAGCCGGCAUUGCAGUGGGCUCUGGUGUAGAUUGCAGAUGUGGCUCAGGUCUGGAGUUGCUGUGGCUGUGGUGUAGGCCAGCAAGCUACAGCUCCAAUUGGACCACUAGCCUGGAAACUUCCAUGUGCCACAGGUAUGGCCCUAAAAAGAUCAAAAAGAAAAUAUAUCUAUACAAAUUAAUUUGCACCAAAAGAGAGAGGAAGUGAAAGAGAGAGAGCGCAAGAGAGAGAGAGGCUAUCAUUAACUACUAAUGGAGUCUGAAAGGAUAUAAGCGUGCUUAUUUCAUUUUGAAACAGUUAAAAAAAAUGCUAUUUUUUUCCUCAAGGGAUUUCCAUGGAGGUAUAUUCUUUCUUUGGGCAUUCCACUUUUAAGGUAAAAUAAUUCUCAAUUCACUAAUAUGUAAAACCCAUAUAAUUUAUAUAUGCUAUAAAGUAAGAAUUACUAAUGAAAAGUCAAUCACAUAACCAUCUUCUAAAUAUGGUUUAGAAAAGGAAAAUCUUGCCACUAAAACAUUGCAUGUUACUUAUAAAAACAUAAACAGGACAUCCUUAUAUGUCUUUAUAAACUUCUGGUUUUUAAAGCUCAUCAUAGAAACUGCCUCCUGAGAAACAAAAUGCUAUUUGGUAUUUUUCCCUUACAGAAAGAUUGUUUCUUUAAUAGCUAACAACAGAAUUUUUGCAUGGGAAGGUCAAAUUGGAGCUGUCACUUCAGAAAUCAGCAAGGAGUGGAUUCAGAGUUUGUUUCCUCUUCCAACUAGUUCAUCUGCACAUAAAUGUUCAGGAGCCGAUGUUCUUUUAUCCUCAUGGGGCAAUGAGCUUCAAAUGAACCUGGAGUUCUAACUCUCAGCAGGGAAUAGUCCUGAUAGUAGGAGAUCCCAUUUGCCAUUAUCUAUUUGUGUUGCAAGGUAAUUCAUUUUGGGUUGAGAUCAAAUUGUUUUAAGCUGAGCUGGUAUUUUUAUUGGUGUCCUUCCAGCCAGCCUUCCUGGUAAGAACCGUCGUUAUUUCUAACAAGCUGACCUAAAGGAAAAGAUUAUUUCUGCCAGUGUGCAUUGUCACAAGGGAACAAAGAUGUGCAAGACCUAUUUUACGUUAGUUACUUAUUUUUAAAGCAUUGAUAGAGGUAUGAGAGUGGUAGUCUGCUCUUGGGGGAAAUCAGCUGACUAGUUGAUGAAGGGUCAGGAAAAAUGGGUGAUGAUGGGAACAUCUGAAACGAUCUGUUAGUAUUUGCUGUAAAAUUACCAUUUAAAGUUGAGGAAGGUAAUAUUUGCAAAAUGUAAUAGAUAUUGUAAAAAUACUGAAAAGCUCAACUCCAAACUGCCAAGUAACAUAUAUCAUUGGUUUCUAUUGCUAUUUAAUUAUUUGAGAAAUUUGGCAUAUAUAUAUAGUAUAGUAUAUGUGUAUAUAUACACAUAUACACACACUUUAGUGUUAAAAAGAUUCAAGAAAAGGGAGUUCCUUUCGUGGCUCAGUGGUUAACAAACCUGACUAGGAUCCAUGAGGAUGCGGGUCCGAUCCCUGGCCUCACUCAUUGGGUUAAGGAUCCGGUGUUGUCACUGCUGUGGCUUUGGUUAUAGCUGUGGCAUGGGUUAUAUCCCAGGCCCGGAAACUUCUGCAUGCUGUGGGCAUAGCCAAAAAAAAAAAAAAAAAAAAAAAAA